RNAcentral lists this ribosomal RNA (459 nucleotides) under uncultured bacterium. RNAcentral describes it as "partial 16S ribosomal RNA". It matches the Rfam family "Bacterial small subunit ribosomal RNA", at positions 338 to 795 of the family's 1533-position model. The record is from RNAcentral.
CCUACGGGGGGCAGCAGUGAGGAAUAUUGGUCAAUGGCCGAGAGGCUGAACCAGCCAAGUCGCGUGAGGGAUGACGGCCCUACGGAUUGUAAACCUCUUUUGCCGGGGAGCAAAGAGCGGUACGUGUCCCGCCUCGAGAGUACCCGGAGAAAAAGCAUCGGCUAACGCCGUGCCAGCAGCCGCGGUAAUACGGCGGAUGCGAGCGUUAUCCGGAUUUAUUGGGUUUAAAGGGUGCGAAGGCGGCAGUGAAAGUCAGCGGUAAAAUUGCGGGGCGCAACCUCGUCCCGCCGUUGAAACUGCGUUUCUUGAGUGGGCGAGAAGUACGCGGAAUGCGUGGUGUAGCGGUGAAAUGCAUAGAUAGCACGCAGAACUCCGAUUGCGAAGGCAGCGUACCGGUGCGCAACUGACGCUCAGGCACGAAAGCGUGGGUAUCGAACAGGAUUAGAUACCCGAGUAGUC